AGAGUUUGAUCCUGGCUCAGGACGAACGCUGGCGGCGUGCUUAACACAUGCAAGUCGAACGAUGAACACCGGAGCUUGCUCUGGUGGGAUUAGUGGCGAACGGGUGAGUAACACGUGAGCAAUCUGCCCCCGACUCUGGGAUAACCCCGAGAAAUCGGAGCUAAUACCGGAUACGACACCUCCUGGCAUCAGGUAGGUGUGGAAAGAAUUUCGGUUGGGGAUGAGCUCGCGGCCUAUCAGCUUGUUGGUGAGGUAAUGGCUCACCAAGGCGACGACGGGUAGCCGGCCUGAGAGGGUGACCGGCCACACUGGGACUGAGACACGGCCCAGACUCCUACGGGAGGCAGCAGUGGGGAAUAUUGCACAAUGGGCGCAAGCCUGAUGCAGCAACGCCGCGUGAGGGAUGAAGGCCUUCGGGUUGUAAACCUCUUUUAGCAGGGAAGAAGCGAAAGUGACGGUACCUGCAGAAAAAGCACCGGCUAACUACGUGCCAGCAGCCGCGGUAAU
Molecule: ribosomal RNA, 507 nt
Filed under: uncultured bacterium
Lineage: Bacteria
Description: bacterial SSU rRNA
Rfam family: Bacterial small subunit ribosomal RNA
Source: RNAcentral